Non-coding RNA from Aspergillus welwitschiae, 133 nucleotides. The record is from the annotation of a RefSeq genome assembly. NCBI's taxonomy places the organism in Eukaryota, Fungi, Ascomycota, Eurotiomycetes, Eurotiales, Aspergillaceae.
GUCUCGGUGGCGCAAUUGGUAAGCAUUUAUCCCUAGCAGUUUCCAAACCCAUAACUAGAUCACUAAUAUUCGAAAAGGUUAGCGCGUACGACUGUUAAUCGUGAGGUUGAGAGUUCGAUCCUCUCCCGGGACG